Molecule: long non-coding RNA, 12598 nt
Filed under: Panax ginseng (ginseng)
Lineage: Eukaryota; Viridiplantae; Streptophyta; Magnoliopsida; Apiales; Araliaceae
Description: long non-coding RNA (PGIN_LNC000145)
Source: RNAcentral
UAUUGUUAACAGUUCCUAAUUUCCCCCCAAAUUAUAAAGGUUUUCCACCAGCAGAGCUAGAGAACAUAAGAAAUUCUUCAUAUUGUAUUGAAUCUUCUCUGUUCUGAGAUUUAAAAGAAAGAAGCGAGAAUGAUGAGAACAAGGUUGCUAUGGUUCACAUUGGGCAACUACAAUUAUCAACUUCGUAUUCAAAGAUCUCUAGGUUCCAAGACUGGGUCGAUCGCCAAAUUCUCUUGCAUAAUUAUCAGGUAAUUUUAGUUUGGGUUUUCAAUUUAUAUUCAUAUUUCUCUCCUCUAGCCCUAAUUUUGUCUGAUUGCCACUAUCUUUCACCUGUUUCUCUCCUCCCUUGUAUGUUUGCUGCUAAGAAACUCAAUCUUAUUGGUACCUAAUUGCGGGUAAUUUCAUUGUACAUGUUGUUUGGUAAUAAUUAGGGAAGUACACAAUUUGUUUGAUAAAAUGUCUACUUGAACUAGAUAGUCAGCAACUCAGCUUGAAUUGCUUCAAUUUGAACAAAACUUGUAAUGACCAAACAUCAAGGAAAAUUCGUUCAUGAAACUCUGUAAUUGUUAGUGUUGGCGAUAAAGUUUUCUACAUAACCAAUAAGAUGAAGCUUCUACAUUAAACCUCUUUGAUGUUUUAUGUUUUGGCCACUCCCAAAGUUUUGGACAAAUACCAUUAUAAGUCGGUGAAAUAAAAUGAAAUUGCAAUGAAUGAUUUAAAGGAAUUAAUACUUCACAUUUUUGAAUGAGUAACUCUUGGAUGACUAUCUUAAUUAGUUCAUAUAGGUGCAGAAUGUUCAGUAGGUGUAAUUGGUUGAAAGAUUUGGUAUGAAGACAGUAUCUUCAUUAAUGCAGUUGACAAAAACCUUAUUUUGUAUCUCUACAUGUAUUGGUUUAAUAAGUUGUAGAGUUCCAACUCGAUCAUGUUUUUUCUUGAUUAAUGGUCUUAUAUGACAUUUAAUAGUAAAAAUUGUAAAGAAACAAGUCCUGGAAAAUGUUACUUAGAUGUGGGUGCAAAAACUAUAUUUGUUCAUCAACCUAGUUUUAAUAGACUUUAAGUGAUUCAAAUCUGUCAUUUAUCAUUUUUAAAUUGUAUUGUUUUGGCUAGAAGUACAUAGCUGGUAUACUUUGUACGUUAUUCUUUUAGUUUAUUGAUCUUGAGUAGUGAUUUAUACAUGUGCUUAUUUGGUAAAAAUUUAGUGAUGAUCUUGAGUACAGAUUUAUACGGUUGUGUCGCUUAGGGUUUGGAUCUAUGUCUACAUGGCGCAGUGUUUGGUGCACGUGGUGUUGGUGUGGAUGGAGUAUAGGAGAAGUAAUAUGACGAGAGUUCGCAUCAAAUCUGUCCAAAAUCUGGAAAACAGAUUCGAAACAGUUGCUUGCACGAAUUUUCUGGAAUUUUGUGUUAAGAAUUUGGAAAUGGUCAAAGAAUAAAAGUUGUGUUCCCUGAAAUUAGCUUCGCGUGGGCUCAAGAAUCGCUCAAAAAUGUUUUGAAACGAAAAAGUUAUGAUUGUUUUAGCGAGAGAGGGUAAUGCUGAAAACUGUUAUGAAUGUCCAUUUUUGGCGCAAUGUUUAGGCUGUCUAGCGAACCUGUAACACCCCCUUCCCGAAAAAGAAAGGGAGAUCACGUGCAAAGCACAACAAACCUCAAAAUAAGUAAACAGAGCAGUGAUAACUUCAAAUAUUAAUAGUGGUGAUCCAUUAAUAAAUUACUAAAUACAAUUCUCCAAACAGAGUUAAAAUAAUCAAAACUUAAAAUCGAAUCAACUUAGAUGGUCAAAGGCAACUCUCUCAUCACACUAGUCCUGAAUCACCCCUGCAAACCUACCAGAAGAAAAAUACAGCAUGAGCCAAUUGCCCAGUACGAAUAUAGAUAAUACAUAAAUGUAUAACUGAAAUAUGAAAUCAACUGAAGCAACAUACUUAACAAAACCUCAAGCUUAAAGACCGACGAAAAUAUGAUAUCCAAAGUCUGAAUAGAAUAUAUUCGAAUCAACAAAUUUAACAAAACAAACAGAAGAGUAAAGAAUGAACUGAAGUAAUUACUAAAAACAAUAUGUUUUAAGAAUAUAAAUUUUAUUUAUUUAUUUAUUUAUUUUCCGGGUAUUACAAAACCCGAAAUGAGAGUUUGAUAUUUUAUUAAAAUAGUCUCAUAUGAUAUGAAAAACAUAUUGAAAUUUGAUAAUUUUUCGGUAAGCGAGCAAGGCGUGAGAAAAUCGCAAAGUUGCUACGCGGAUAAGGGGAGGGCUGCCCAUGGCAGCCCAACCCACGAUGGCUGCCACCUAGGGUCUUUUCGAUGCCUCGUUUUCUCUCUCUUAGGAUGUCCGAAAUGCUAGGCUAGCAUUUUGUAAAAAUAGGUGGACAUACCAUCUAUAGCAUAUCCAAAAUUGGUUAGAAUCGCACAGGCAGAAUAAAAAUUAAAAAUACGUGAAGUGGAUGUUAGAACACGUUCGCCGACGGCCUACACUAAGGUCGUUUAGGCCAAGCUAAGGGCAGCCAAGAGUCCGACGUCGCGAUGCAAUUUUCGAAACUUAAUACAAUAUCCAAUGUCGUGGCACAUGUUUGAAUGUUGCGACAGGGAUUUUGAUGUUUUUAGCAGUUAGGCAUACCUUGAAGCACCGAAACGGAUAUAAAACAUAGUUUAAGAACUAUAUAACUCAUGUAUCCGUUCAAUGCACAUAGAAAGCUAUAAACACAAUAUGUGAACAUAAGUUUACAUAAAUAUGAAUAAUAUAUCCGUGGAAUGGGAAUGCGUUGACUUUAAUGAAAGCUAUUCCAAAGCUAUGCCUCGGAACCGAACGAUUUUCGAAAUAUAAAGCGAGAAUUAUGCAAACGUUGUUGAAAAUUCAACGUUUGACAUAAAUAAGCUAUGUGUAGGUAUAAGACAUACAAAUAGUAUAUGUCUACCUACAAGUCAAGCAAUUGAGGCAAGUUUUGACAUUAUAAGACAGACGUAUAUGCAAAAGCAUAUAUACCUCAUGUAUACAUAAAAUGGGGAAAAAUAAUGUUAUAUGAACACAUUAAUCCUAGAAAGCUAGUAUUCGUGCAGAAUAGAAUUUAAAUUACUCACGAAAGUGAAAAUAAGCUAUAAAUAUACAAAGUAAAGGCACGGAUGCAGUAUCUGACUAUAAGUCUACAUAUAGAUGCGUGUAAAGUCCAUAAAUACAUUAUAAAAGGUUUAUAACUAUAAAUGCAUUGUAUUGACGUUUUAAAAGUUGUGUUGAAACUUUUUGUAAGUUUAUGACUAUAUUAAGCUAAAACUCCAAAAUUUUUAAAGAAAUAAGAAAGUUUUUCAGAAACAGACAUAAAGAGGUGUUGUUAUAACUUAUAUGAAUGUUUAUAGCUGUACAAGCUAUGUGACGUGAAUCUGUGGCUAAUGUAUACAUACAGGUGAACAUAACUGUGUAGGAUUCGUGAGGUGAAGUUAAACUAAGAUUUAUCUCGAUAAUCAUCGAUCAAGGUAAGUCUUCCAAUUUCUUUGUUAUUUUAUGAAUUGGUUAUUGUAUGAGAUCUUUAAGAAUAUGUGUAAUUACAUGUUACAUGCUAUAAACUGUGAAAGUCAAUAUAUGACUAAGCUGAUUGAGUUAUGGAACUCAAUAUGCAUGUGAUAUAUGAUAUGAACAUAUAUUGUUUAAAGUGAUGAUGCAUGAAUGGUAUAAAGGAUUAUGAGAUAUAUGUUGAGCAUGAAACUGUGUUAUAUGAAGCAUGAAAAACUGUUAGAUUUGAUGGGUUGUCGAGCUCAGUCUUGCAAAAAUAUAAUUGUUGCAGGUAUGAUAUACAACACGGUUUCUUGCGAUCUAAAUGAUAAAGAAUAAAGACGUGUGUAGGAAAGUUGUCUACUUUAAGUAGGAACUAUAUUAUAUCGAAAUGAUUAUUUUUGAUGUGUAAAAUGAGAAUUGGGUAAAUAUUGUGUUAUUCAAUAAAUGAAGAAUGUUUGUGUUAAGAUUGAAAUACAGUUUGGCAAUUACCUUAUAAAGUAAUGUUUCAUAGGAAUGUUACUAUAUAAGAUAAGAUAUGAGUUAAGAAAUGAGUUAUAUAUACUCAUAUCACUCUGAUAAAAGGAAUCAUUAAAUAAACAUGAUUCUGAAAUAUGUAAUCGUAAAUGUUACAAUUCAGGGAACGAAGGAAAGACAGAAAGAAAAGUUCUAAAAUAUCUCGCAUGUUUAGCUAUUUUAACAUUGAAUAAUGUUUUAAAGUUAGAUCAAGAUAGUAUUUAACGCGCAAGAUCGGAAAGGGAAAUAGUCCCAAUUUUGGGGUCGUUGAAGUUGGUAUCAGAGUAUAAGCACAAAUGUUGCGAAGAUCCCCGAACCUUUUGCUAGUGACGUCCCUAUAAGGGAAGGCACUGAAGCCAUACUUUCCGUAGGGGACGCCGAGCAAGUCGAUAGCAAAUUGAUAGGUAUCAUUGUAAGGUGCUAUGGUUGAAAAUACCAUGAGCGUUACAAGUUGUAUCAAAGUUAUGGGUUAUAAACCUUAGGUAAGUGUACCAUAUGUUAUAACCGUAAACAAGAUAGAUGAAAAGGAAGAAAAUGUUAUGUAUAAACUCGAAUGAGGUUUAAAUGAUCUUAAGAUGAAUUUAAUAAUUCAUAAAGAAUGCGUUAAGAUAUACGCAAAGAUUCAAAGAAGAAUCUUAAAAGGCAAGAAGUAGAGGAUCAGGGGACACCUUAUUCAAAUAAUCAUAAAACCAUAUGAUUGGAAAGAAGAUAAGAAAAUCGUAAAAAUGAAACGAUCAUAGAAUGAGUCGUAAUAUAACACGAUUAUAAGAUCAAGUCAAUGAAGAACAGGUAAUCAAUCAAAUAAUUGAAAAUUUAUAGCAGAAUGGCUAUAUGGAAAUGGUACUAUGAGAUAGUACCACAGAAAACUCGGAAAGAGUUAUAAAUGUUGAAAUACAAAUUAAUUAAAUAAAAUUUGUAUUGAGCAAAGAACAAGAUAAGAUUUGAUGGGAUUAAGUGGGAUUUCAAUUGAUGACUCAUGUGGUAGUUGAGUUGUACAAACCUUUGUAUGGGCAAGGGUUUUAUACUUGGUUUAACGACCACUUAGUUUAUCACACUAAUAAUCGUUGAAAUGUUAGUGUCGCGUUAUAUAUAUACAUAUGGUGAGAAGGUGAUUCUUUUCUCAUAUAUAUAUUUGAUAAUUAGAUAUAUAAUAUAAGAGUAGGUGCGAGUUCUUAAAACUCAUGCUUAUGAUAAGUUUGUGACUCAUAAUCAUAUGAUAUAUUUUUGAGCCCUAAGCGUAUUGAUAGUCCCUGAUUGGUUUUUGGACUACGUAUUGUUAGGACAAAUUCUUAAACUCAUAUUUUUAUGGCAAGUUCCUAAACACAUAAUGUAUGGUAAGUUUGAUGAAUUGUACUAAGGUAUAAGAAUAUUAUCGAAUAAGAGCUAAUUAAUUAUAGUAGAUUAAACAAUAUUGAUGGUGCUAGAGUUAAAUAGAAUUGUUUUAUAGUGAGACAAUGGAAGAAGUUGAAGCUGAUAAAGGAGAGACGGAUAUUCCAAAUCUUCUAGUUAUGCUAGAUCUCUAAAUUUUUGAAAUCAAGCUAAAUUAGCACUGAUAUGAGUUUAGAAAUACAAAUGAAUUUUUUUUGUUAUCAGCAACACACAGUGACAAGGGUGUGGAUGUGGACUUCGAGCCACUAACACAUUGUUACCUGUUGCGCAUGAUAACACCAAAAAUAAUUUUCAAUGGUUUUAAACCGUUUAAAGAAGAGUCUACGCUAAUUGUUUCGGCUGGACAAAAGUUGAAAAUAUCAAAAUAUUUUUAUAUAGUCAACAAUCCAUCAUUAAUAUGAUGUAGAUAUAACAAAUGAUGAAGUCAUCAAUGCAGCUUAAUCUAGUGUUGGAUGUGAACUAUGGAUCGUCAGACCACUAUGGUAUGAUGUAGUAUGACAAGUCAUAAAAUGAUUUUCAGUAUUUUAAUAAUUAAAAAGAUGUCGAUGCCAUUUGAAUCGGCUAGACAUAGAUUCAGAUAUUGUUUUUAUAUUAAGCUUUUGAAUUGUCCAACUAAAUUGAUUAAGUAUGGACUUCAAACUGGAUAUAAACAUCCCUAAAUUGGGACAAGAUGUUCUAUGUGCUAAAGACAGAUGAUGAACGCAAAUGUCGUUCAAAUUUAUAUUGUGUCUUGGGGACGACAAAGAAGAACUGAAAGAAAUUGUUCUGUCAAGAUAAUGUUAAUCAACAUAGAAUAUCCUUGAAUUAGGAAAUUUUGUUUGCGCUAAAUGGCAAUGGCGACGAACGUAAAUGUCGUUAUUGCGUCCUGGGGAUGGCAAAGAGGGACUGAAAAAGUGUUCUGCUAAGAUAUUAUUGAUCAACACAGGGUGUAAACAGGCUAAUCACCUAUAUGCACGUAAGAUAUGUCGGUUUGUAGAUGAAUUUCUGUUGAAACCUUUUCAGAAACAAAGUUUAUGGUCUUUAUGACUUUAUCAUGAUACAGAAAGCUCUUCUUAAGCGAAUCUUUUGAAUUAUUGAAUUAUUCAUAUUACAUCACAAUUAUUAAUCAAUUGUGGGGAAUUUCUAUUUUGGAGAUUGGGUAUAGAAAGAAUGAACUUCCUUAAGAAGAAGUAGGUCGUAAAAUUAGACGAUGGUUUAUGAAUCCUUGAAGAAGGAAAAAAAUAGAGUUAUGAGGAAUAAAGAUUUUUGCAUAACAAAGUAGACACUGGUGAUGUGUCAUAGAAAGUCAAACAUUGGUGUUGUGUCAUAGACAUGGGUGAAAUGUCAUAAGAAACUAGACACUGGUAAUGUGUCAUAACAAAAAUAAUCACGUGAAAAUUAGAAACGUGCAAGUCCACAAAUUUUAGGACUUUUGGAAUAUUAGAAAAAUAAGUAUAAAAUAGCAUAAAGUUAUUAAUAUUUUAAUGUGUGUUAUGAUAGGUGAAAAUGAUAUAAUUUAGUAUCACAUAAUAUGGCCGCCAAGAGGGGAUCAGUAUGAUCGAAAGAAAAUAGAUCAUAACCAAGAAAGAGAAUUUUAGUAUUGUGAUUCCGAGGACGGAAUCCUUAUAAGGGUUGAAGAAUGUGACGAUCUUGGUUUUCAAAAAAAAACAUUAAGAUAAGAAUUUAAAUAAAUAAUUAAAAUUCUUAUUAUUAUGUGAUAAUAGACUGCAUAAGUAAAUUUGUGGUGUGGUAUGUGAUUUUUGUGAAUAAAUAUAUUAUUGUUAUAUAUUUAUUAUAAAUUGUUGAAAAAAAUUUCUAGGAAGGGAAAGAGAUGUGUAGGAUACAAAAUUAUUGUAUCCAUCGAUAUGUAUAUUGAAACAAUAACUAAAACUUAAUUAUUUUAGGAAAGAUUUAUUUUAUUAAACAAUUUAUUAUAUAUUGCGUAUGUGGAUAUACGCGGUAUAAUGUUAAAAUAAUUUACAAUGUUAAAUUAUUUUAAUAUAAUAAAUGUAUGACAUCAAAUAUAAUAUUUUAUUUUAUUGGAAGAGUUAUGUAAUAAUAAUUCAUUAUUACAAUGAAAUAUAUUAGGUGUAUGAGGUGUCAUGUAAUGUAGGUAUGUAAUAAUGCUUGUAUAAUAAGUUUGGUGUAAUCAAAUGCAAGCAUGAGCUACUAAGAAAUGAAAGUCUAGGAAGCCGAGUCAGUCAAGUGAGCAAGCAUGAGCUGGGAAUUGAAAGGAGCUGUAGACUUAUUAAGCUUUAAUGGAGAUUAGCGUGGUUGUGCGGAGUAAUAAGGUUGGCGAAAAUGGAUUGAUUAUAUUGGCCCCAACCUAUAGAAAUCAGUCCAUAAUUUAGUCGCACGCGUUAUUUUGUAAAAAUGCCAAAACGAGCUAAUUUGGCUAAAAAUACAUAAUUUAAUGGAACCUAGACCUUAGACGAGUCUUAUAACUUUAAAUAAGACUUGUUUGUAAAGAAAAAUUGGUUGGAACGAGUCGAGGUAAGUUUUGGAUGUCAAAACAAAAAGUGAAAACUAGUGUGACCGCUGACAUUGAGACCAAUUUUGGGUCUAGUAUAUGUUUCCAGAAAAUUCUAGGCUUUUGGAAUAUUAUAGUACACUAAAUAAGCUUUCCACAGACUCUCGAACGGACUAAUUUGGUAAUUCCGACUUCGGAUCAAGGAGUUAUGAAAGUUCAAAGUAGUCGCGUUGAAUCUGUCCAAAAUCUGAAAAAUAGAUUCGAAGCAGUUGCUUGCACGAAUUUUCUGGAAUUUUGUGUUAAAGAAUUUGGAAAUAGUCAAAAAAUAAAUGUUGUGUUCCCGGAUAUUAGCUUCGCGUGGGAUCAAUAAUAGCUCAAAAAUAUUUUGAAACGAAAAAGUUAUGACUGUUUUAGCGAGAGAGGGUAAUGCUGAAAAUAAAUCAAAAACUGUUAUGAAUGUCCAUUUUUGGCGCAAUGUUUGGGCUGUCUAGUGAACCCGAAAUGAGAGUUUGAUAUUUUUUAAAAAUAGUCUCAUAUGAUAUGAAAAACAUAUUGAAAUUUGAUAAUUUUUCGGUAAGCGAGCAAGGCGUGAGAAAAUCGCAAAGUUGAUACGCGGAUAAGGGGAGGGCUGCCCAUAGCAACCCAGCCCAUGAUGACUGCCACCUGGGGUCUUUUCGAUGCCUCGUUUUCUCUUGCUUAGGAUGUCCGAAAUGCAAGGCUAGCAUUUUGUAAAAAUAGGUGGACAUACCAUCUAUAACAUAUCCAAAAUUUGUUAGAAUCGCACAGGCAGAAUAAAAAUUAAAAAUACGUGAAGUGGAUGUUAGAACACGUUCGCCGACGGCCUACGCUAAGGCCGUUUGGGCCAAGCGUCGCGAUGCGUUUUUCGAAACUUAAUACAAUAUCCGAUGUCGUAGCACGUGUUUGAAUGUAGCGACACGGAUUUCAAUGUUUUCAGCAGUUAGGCAUACCUUGAAGCACCGACACGGAUAUAAAACAUAUUUUAAGAACUAUAUAACUCGUGUGUCUGUUCAAUGCACAUAGAAAGCUAUAAACACAAUAUGUAAACAUAAGUUUACAUAAAUAUGAAUAAUAUAUUCGUGUAAUGGGAAUGUGUUGACGUUAAUGAAAGGUAUUCCAAAGCUAUGCCUCGAAACCGAACGAUUUUCGAAAUAUAAAGCGAGAAUUAUGCAAAGACAGCUGCUGCCUGCUGCCAACCUGAACAAAGAACGUCACAAUAUGCUCAACGACCUGCGUGUGGUAAGGACAUCUGUAAGCUCUCACUUGGGGGAUCAGAAACUUAGUGUCAAUUAAUAUUUUUCUGCAAAUUUAAUUUUUAUUUUACAUGCCAGACUUGAUAUUAUCAACGUUAAGUUUUUCCAUCUGUUUUACUCUACCAACGUAUAAAAUUUGAAGUAAUGUUGCGUAAUUGAAGUAAGCAGUAAUUAACAUAUGACAAUGCAUACAUGGCUAGAUAGCUAUAUAUUUUUGGAUACACUUAUAUAUCACCUAUGCAAUAACAUGGGUUUAGUACGUAGUAUGUCUUCUACUUUAGGUAAAACUUUAGUCUACAUUUGCUUUCAAUAAAGUAUGUCACGUUUACAACUCCCGUUCUGCAGCAACAAUGUAGUCGAUCAAUAGAAGAAAUAGCUUUAGGCUGUGGAAGGAACAAAAGUAGUCAGAGUGAAUGAUUUCACUUGUUUCUCUUUGGUAUGAGCCCCUUGAGUAUAGGAAAACUGAGAACUAGAAUGAAGGAAGAAAGAAAAGCCUGAGCAAACAUCUCUUCAAAGUUUUUCUCGCCUAUUACCCUUUUCACUCCACCUAUAAAGCAUAACACGUUCAGUAUGACUAAUAAUGUCAGUGGAAUCAUGAACAUCUUUGCACCACUGAAGUCAAAUUUGCCUUUCAUAUAUUUUUCGAGCUUUUCUUGGUCGACGGCUUUAUUUGUCAGCCUGAAACUCGCUUUUGUUAUACCCAUCCACUUCAUUAGAACAUCUAGGCAUCCAAACAGCAAAGCUGUAACUGACUUUAUCAUAAAAAUUCUUUGUUCAUUCCACCACGUCCUAAUUGUGCCACCGCUAGAGAGGACUUCGUACAAAUGCUGACAAAGGGAUGAUGUAUAUACUGUUGCAAAUGCCAAAAACCAUGGGUCUGAGACCUGCAACAACAAUUGAAAGCAGAGAAUGCUAAAAUAGUUUUAAGUUAACAGGCAAAAAAAUUAAUUUAAUUUUACCCUGAACAAAAUUUUUCUAAAAUUAGUGGGAAUUAAUAGAUGUGACCUUAGUAGACACAAAAAAAGGAAAUAAAAGAAAGAUAAUCCUAACUUGUCAUAAUUUACCUUUGGGUACAAGGGAGUGCCACUCAAGAAACAUAGCUGAGGAAUAAUUCCAUAUAAUAGGCAAGCAACUGAGAAAAGGGGUAAAAACGUGAAAUACCCGUAGCACAUAGUUUGGAGAAUGGUCAUCCUUGACAUGCCAUAUGUGGCAGGGCUAAACUUAGAGAGACCAACUUGAAGCAAUCCAGAGGACCAUUUCAUGAGUUGGACCAAAGCAUCCUUCAUGUCAAUGGUGGUGCAACCCAAGAAACAUGGCCUUUUUGGAUAAAGAUAGACAGAACGCCAUCCUUUGUUGUGCAAAAGAUACCCCGUGAAUGUGCUCUCCAACAAACAAUCAUAGGAGUAGCCAAUCUGCCAUCACAUCAACAUAAGAUUGAAGGAUAAGGAAAAACAGCCUAAAAUUAUGUUAUAGUAACAUAUGAGUAUUAUGAGUGUAACACUGCACUUGCCUCUUUACCCCAUUGUGUGUUUUUCUCAAAGUCACAAGAGGCUAGAAUUUUGGCCUCUUCUAUAAUUGCUUCCGAUAAAUCUCUCACUCCAGAGGUAUCUUCUUUGUCACUACCUUUUAGUGAGGCAAUGAACACGCUAGAUAUACCAAAAUUCUUUUCUGGUUCGAGCAGAAACUUGUCUGUGAAAUACACGGAAAAGGAAAGCUAUAUAAACAUUGACGAGUUUUCACUAUCAUGGUUCUUCAUAAAUAUACUGUGAGUACAUAUACCGCUAGCUCAAUUGUUUGUAAGAAAUAUAAGCAUACCCUCUUGAUUGGGACUACUAUAUAAUGCCUUUUUGUUCAAGUAAUAACCAGUUCCUGCACAAACUGUACCUCGUUGUCCAUCCAUACCUUGAUACCUUGUCUGUAAUAUGGAUGUUAAAAUAUUGUUAUCAAUCAUAGGUGAACCUCAAAAAAAUACUUAAUUAUCUGUAACGAAAACACGAGUAGCAAUUUGUCUAAGUUACUGCACCUUGUAUGCUGAUCUUGCUUGGCCGUCGUAUAUAUCAUUUUCACUAACAUUAUAGAAAAUUUGAGGGUAUUGUACAUAAGAGAGAGUUCGAGACAUCUCAGGGUCCAGAUGAAAGCACAUUGCUUGUCGGGCUGAGGCAGGGUCAUUGCAGUACAUAUCACAAUCUAACACUAUUAUGUAGGGGGCAUUGCUAAUUAUGCCAGAAACUCGAAGCUGAUAGAAAUUAGUAACAAGUUGAUUGUCAUUAUAUGAAGGAGAUGGAGAGAAAAGAGAGUAGGAAUACAACACAUACAAGCGCAUUGAGGGCUCCAGCCUUGAAACGAUGAGGACGAGAUGGUCUUUUCUCACGGGAUACAUAAACAAGAAGAGGCAUCUUAUUUUGGAUGUCGUCAUUGUUUACAUCCUUGCUAUUAUCAUGUAUUACCUACAAAGCAAUAAACAAAUUGAUAAAUUUUUUUCCAUCUUUUUUUAAACUGAAAAUUAGAUUACUUUCUGCUGAUUUCUCAUUCUUUUUCUUGAUCAUUGUCUGACAUGACUGGGUGGAAGUAUCAAUUUAACUUUUAGUAGGUAAUAAAGUAUAAUCAAGUAGAUUAAAUCUCCAUAUAAUUUUCUAUAUUUUACUUUUCUACUAUUAAUGCUUUCGAAUGGUCACUACUGCAGGCAGCAGUAUUUUAUGUUCAGUUAGUGCUUGGACAUUAUCACAAGGGCUUAUGGCUGGAGGGUUAUUUAGAAGAUCUAAUGAUACCUCCACCAUUCCUAGAAGGUAUUUCACUCCCAAAAUUUGUAAGACUAAUAGAGCCUGAUCAGAAUAAUUAACUUGCAAAGACAGAAAAAUCAAGUUCUGAAAACUAAUCAAGACUGUCAAGCAUGGUGAACUGCACUUUCCAGUAAUUCUUUAAAUGUCAAGUUGUAUGAUAAUAUUGAAAUUAUAACCUUGAAUAAUACGAUAUGAGAUGUAUUUCACAGAAACUUAGUCACAAAUAUUUUAUCCAACUUUUGGCCUAAUGCUUAUUUGUCGCUCAAACAUCUUUUACCAUUUAAUCUGAUAAAUUUUAGCUCUUUUAAGUAAUUAAUCUGAUAAUGUUUUCCAUUUUCUUUCUCAGUUAUAAGUGCUUAAAUUUGAAUAAUAUAUUUUUGAUUUAUUACAUACCUUGAUGUGAGGGGGUCGAUCAUGAACAACGGCAUCUUCCAUGGCAGCUUUUUCAACAUUUAUCUUGAACAGAUCAUAUUUCGACUGCAAAGAUUAUAGAAUCAGCUAACCAUGUCUUCACAUUUCUAUAAUGAUUACUAAUCUGAUGAUGCUAUAAUCUAUGUUUCAUUUUUUUCACUUUUAUGUAGCCUAGUUCUUUUUACCUUAAUCUUUUCUUCCUCUGCCUUGAAUUCAUCGCUCCUCAGAAGACGUUCAUCAUCGCCAAAUUUAGAAAAAUAUGCUUCAGGACAUCUGGUCUUGAUCCCAUAUUUUCUACAAAAAGGUAGCC